AAGAGACAUGGUAGCCAAGAAGA
This 23-nucleotide non-coding RNA is filed under the name Cricetulus griseus (Chinese hamster). Lineage: Eukaryota; Metazoa; Chordata; Mammalia; Rodentia; Cricetidae. The record is from RNAcentral.